UUGGGUUAAGUGUGCGCAGGCGGAUGCUUAAGCCAGACGUGAAAUCCCUGGGCUUAACCUAGGAAUGGCGUUUGGAACUGGGCAUCUAGAGUGUGGCAGAGGGAGGUGGAAUUCCUGGUGUAGCAGUGAAAUGCGUAGAGAUCAGGAGGAACACCGAUGGCGAAGGCAGCCUCCUGGGCUGACACUGACGCUCAUGCACGAAAGCUAGGGGAGCAAACGGGAUUAGAUA
Molecule: ribosomal RNA, 229 nt
Filed under: uncultured Pseudomonadota bacterium
Lineage: Bacteria; Pseudomonadati; Pseudomonadota
Description: uncultured proteobacterium partial 16S ribosomal RNA
Rfam family: Bacterial small subunit ribosomal RNA
Source: RNAcentral